RNAcentral lists this ribosomal RNA (604 nucleotides) under uncultured bacterium. RNAcentral's name for it is "bacterial SSU rRNA". It matches the Rfam family "Bacterial small subunit ribosomal RNA", at positions 892 to 1501 of the family's 1533-position model. The record is from RNAcentral.
GGUUGAAACUCAAAGGAAUUGACGGGGACCCGCACAAGCGGUGGAUGAUGUGGUUAAUUCGACGCAACGCGAAAAACCUUACCUACCCUUGACAUGCCUGGAAUCCCACAGAGAUGCGGGAGUGCUCGAAAGAGAACCAGGACACAGGUGCUGCAUGGCCGUCGUCAGCUCGUGUCGUGAGAUGUUGGGUUAAGUCCCGCAACGAGCGCAACCCUUGCCAUUAGUUGCUACGAAAGGGCACUCUAAUGGGACUGCCGGUGACAAACCGGAGGAAGGUGGGGAUGACGUCAGGUCAUCAUGGCCCUUAUGGGUAGGGCUACACACGUCAUACAAUGGCCGGUACAGAGGGCUGCCAACCCGCGAGGGGGAGCUAAUCCCAGAAAACCGGUCGUAGUCCGGAUCGCAGUCUGCAACUCGACUGCGUGAAGUCGGAAUCGCUAGUAAUCGCGGAUCAGCAUGUCGCGGUGAAUACGUUCCCGGGUCUUGUACACACCGCCCGUCACACCAUGGGAGCGGGUUCUGCCAGAAGUAGUUAGCCUAACCGCAAGGGGGGCGAUUACCACGGCAGGGUUCGUGACUGGGGUGAAGUCGUAACAAGGUAGCC